This 253-nucleotide ribosomal RNA is filed under the name uncultured bacterium. Its description in RNAcentral is "partial 16S ribosomal RNA". It matches the Rfam family "Bacterial small subunit ribosomal RNA", at positions 524 to 776 of the family's 1533-position model. The record is from RNAcentral.
CACGUAGGAGACGAGCGUUAUCCGGAUUUACUGGGCGUAAAGAGCUCGUAGGCGGCCUGUUGCGUCUGCUGUGAAAGCCCGGGGCUUAACCCCGGGUCUGCAGUGGAUACGGGCAGGCUAGAGUUCGGCAGGGGAGACUGGAAUUCCUGGUGUAGCGGUGAAAUGCGCAGAUAUCAGGAGGAACACCGGUGGCGAAGGCGGGUCUCUGGGCCGAUACUGACGCUGAGGAGCGAAAGCGUGGGGAGCGAACAGG